Pimephales promelas (fathead minnow) is the source of this 250-nucleotide non-coding RNA. Lineage: Eukaryota; Metazoa; Chordata; Actinopteri; Cypriniformes; Leuciscidae. The record is from RefSeq and is a predicted model, not a curated record.
GUGAUUCUGCAUCUCAAAUGACUCCACCUUUAAUGGACAGUGUCCAUGCAAGAAAUCCAGCGGGGAUGACUGUGAUUGAAGAGUAUCAAGAGACUGGGAGCUUGAAAGAUUCCACAAGGCGGUUAAUGGUGAACAUUAUUGUUGCUCACAUGCAUGAAAAAGAAGGGAGAGCUAUUAGUAAAGCAACGAAGGAGUUCCAUGCCCUUGGGAUUGUGUCACUGUUCCCAUCUUUGAAAGACCCAUACUCUAA